GACGAACGCUGGCGGCGUGCUUAACACAUGCAAGUCGAACGGAAAGGCCCCCACUUUUUUGGUGGGGGUGCUCGAGUGGCGAACGGGUGAGUAACACGUGGGUGAUCUGCCCUGUACUUCGGGAUAAGCUUGGGAAACUGGGUCUAAUACCGGAUAGGACCAUGGUUUAGUGUCUCAUGGUGGAAAAAUUAUUGUUUUGGUGCAGGAUGAGCUCGCGGCCUAUCAGCUUGUUGGUGGGGUAAUGGCCUACCAAGGCGUCGACGGGUAGCCGGCCUGAGAGGGUGGACGGCCACAUUGGGACUGAGAUACGGCCCAGACUCCUACGGGGGGCAGCAGUGGGGAAUAUUGCCCAAUGGGCGCAAGCCUGAUGCAGCGACGCCGCGUGGGGGAUGACGGCCUUCGGGUUGUAAACUCCUUUCGUUAGGGACGAAGCCGCACCUUUUUUGGGUGUGGUGACGGUACCUUUGUUAAGAAGCACCGGCUAACUACGUG
RNAcentral lists this ribosomal RNA (492 nucleotides) under uncultured bacterium. RNAcentral describes it as "partial 16S ribosomal RNA". It matches the Rfam family "Bacterial small subunit ribosomal RNA", at positions 28 to 507 of the family's 1533-position model. The record is from RNAcentral.